This 495-nucleotide ribosomal RNA is filed under the name uncultured bacterium. RNAcentral describes it as "partial 16S ribosomal RNA". It matches the Rfam family "Bacterial small subunit ribosomal RNA", at positions 30 to 507 of the family's 1533-position model. The record is from RNAcentral.
UGAACGCUGGCGGCGUGCCUAAUACAUGCAAGUCGAGCGAACAGACGCGGAGCUUGCUCCUUUGACGUUAGCGGCGGACGGGUGAGUAACACGUGGAUAACCUACCUAUAAGACUGGGAUAACUUCGGGAAACCGGAGCUAAUACCGGAUAACAUGUUGAACCGCAUGGUUCAACAGUGAAAGACGGUCUUGCUGUCACUUAUAGAUGGAUCCGCGCCGCAUUAGCUAGUUGGUAAGGUAACGGCUUACCAAGGCAACGAUGCGUAGCCGACCUGAGAGGGUGAUCGGCCACACUGGAACUGAGACACGGUCCAGACUCCUACGGGAGGCAGCAGUAGGGAAUCUUCCGCAAUGGGCGAAAGCCUGACGGAGCAACGCCGCGUGAGUGAAGAAGGUCUUCGGAUCGUAAAACUCUGUUAUUAGGGAAGAACAAAUGUGUAAGUAACUAUGCACGUCUUGACGGUACCUAAUCAGAAAGCCACGGCUAACUACGUG